AUUAAACGCUGGCGGCAUGCCUUACACAUGCAAGUCGAACGGCAGCACGGGGGCAACCCUGGUGGCGAGUGGCGGACGGGUGAGUAAAGCAUCGGAACGUAUCCUGGAGUGGGGGGGAUAACGUAGCGAAAGUUACGCUAAUACCGCAUAUUCUGUGAGCAGGAAAGCAGGGGAUCGCAAGACCUUGCGCUCUGGGAGCGGCCGAUGUCGGAUUAGCUAGUUGGUGGGGUAAAGGCCUACCAAGGCGACGAUCCGUAGCGGGUCUGAGAGGAUGAUCCGCCACACUGGGACUGAGACACGGCCCAGACUCCUACGGGAGGCAGCAGUGGGGAAUUUUGGACAAUGGGCGGAAGCCUGAUCCAGCCAUGCCGCGUGAGUGAAGAAGGCCUCGGUUGUAAG
RNAcentral lists this ribosomal RNA (399 nucleotides) under uncultured bacterium. Its description in RNAcentral is "bacterial SSU rRNA". It matches the Rfam family "Bacterial small subunit ribosomal RNA", at positions 29 to 429 of the family's 1533-position model. The record is from RNAcentral.